UGAUGGCUUCACAAUUUCACUAGAUUU
RNAcentral lists this non-coding RNA (27 nucleotides) under Rattus norvegicus (Norway rat). The record is from RNAcentral. Lineage: Eukaryota; Metazoa; Chordata; Mammalia; Rodentia; Muridae.